UGGGGAAUAUUGGACAAUGGGCGAAAGCCUGAUCCAGCCAUGCCGCGUGUGUGAAGAAGGUCUUCGGAUUGUAAAGCACUUUAAGUUGGGAGGAAGGGCAGUAAGCGAAUACCUUGCUGUUUUGACGUUACCGACAGAAUAAGCACCGGCUAACUCUGUGCCAGCAGCCGCGGUAAUACAGAGGGUGCAAGCGUUAAUCGGAAUUACUGGGCGUAAAGCGCGCGUAGGUGGUUCGUUAAGUUGAAUGUGAAAGCCCCGGGCUCAACCUGGGAACUGCAUCCGAAACUGGCGAGCUAGAGUAGGGCAGAGGGUGGUGGAAUUUCCUGUGUAGCGGUGAAAUGCGUAGAUAUAGGAAGGAACACCAGUGGCGAAGGCGACCACCUGGGCUCAUACUGACACUGAGGUGCGAAAGCGUGGGGAGCAAACAGG
This 429-nucleotide ribosomal RNA is filed under the name Pseudomonadota bacterium. Its description in RNAcentral is "Proteobacteria bacterium partial 16S ribosomal RNA". It matches the Rfam family "Bacterial small subunit ribosomal RNA", at positions 355 to 776 of the family's 1533-position model. Lineage: Bacteria; Pseudomonadati; Pseudomonadota. The record is from RNAcentral.